UACGUAGGUGGCAAGCGUUGUCCGGAAUUAUUGGGCGUAAAGCGCGCGCAGGCGGUUUCUUAAGUCUGAUGUGAAAGCCCACGGCUCAACCGUGGAGGGUCAUUGGAAACUGGGAGACUUGAGUGCAGAAGAGAAGAGCGGAAUUCCACGUGUAGCGGUGAAAUGCGUAGAGAUGUGGGGGAACACCAGUGGCGAAGGCGGCUCUUUGGUCUGUAACUGACGCUGAGGCGCGAAAGCGUGGGGAGCGAACAGG
Molecule: ribosomal RNA, 253 nt
Filed under: uncultured bacterium
Lineage: Bacteria
Description: partial 16S ribosomal RNA
Rfam family: Bacterial small subunit ribosomal RNA
Source: RNAcentral